UUUUCGAUCUUUUUUUCAGCA
Molecule: non-coding RNA, 21 nt
Filed under: Caenorhabditis elegans
Lineage: Eukaryota; Metazoa; Nematoda; Chromadorea; Rhabditida; Rhabditidae
Source: RNAcentral